AUGCACGCUGGCGGUAUGCUUCACACAUGCCAGUCGAACGGACUCUUCGGAGUUAGUGGCGGACGGGUGAGUAACGCGUGAGAAUCUGGCUUUGGGUUCGGGACAACCACUGGAAACGGUGGCUAAUACCGGAUGUGCCGAGAGGUAAAAGAGAAAUUGCCUGAAGAUGAGCUCGCGUCUGAUUAGCUAGUUGGUGAGGUAAAGGCUCACCAAGGCAGCGAUCAGUAGCUGGUCUGAGAGGAUGACCAGCCACACUGGGACUGAGACACGGCCCAGACUCCUACGGGAGGCAGCAGUGGGGAAUUUUCCGCAAUGGGCGAAAGCCUGACGGAGCAAUACCGCGUGAGGGAAGAAGGCUCUUGGGUUGUAAACCUCUUUUCUUAGGGAAGAACAAAAUGACGGUACCUAAGGAAUCAGCAUCGGCUAACUCCGUG
Molecule: ribosomal RNA, 434 nt
Filed under: uncultured bacterium
Lineage: Bacteria
Description: partial 16S ribosomal RNA
Rfam family: Bacterial small subunit ribosomal RNA
Source: RNAcentral